This 447-nucleotide non-coding RNA is filed under the name Pseudobutyrivibrio ruminis. RNAcentral describes it as "Bacterial small subunit ribosomal RNA". It matches the Rfam family "Bacterial small subunit ribosomal RNA", at positions 1 to 429 of the family's 1533-position model. The record is from Rfam by way of RNAcentral. Lineage: Bacteria; Bacillati; Bacillota; Clostridia; Lachnospirales; Lachnospiraceae.
UAACAUGAGAGUUUGAUCCUGGCUCAGGAUGAACGCUGGCGGCGUGCUUAACACAUGCAAGUCGAACGAAGCAACUUAUUACGAUUCCUUCGGGGUGACGAUUUGUUGACUGAGUGGCGGACGGGUGAGUAACGCGUGGGUAACCUGCCUUGUACAGGGGGACAACAGUUGGAAACGACUGCUAAUACCGCAUAAGCGCACAGCUUCGCAUGAAGCAGUGUGAAAAGUUUUUUCGGUACAAGAUGGACCCGCGUCUGAUUAGCUAGUUGGUGAGGUAACGGCCCACCAAGGCGACGAUCAGUAGCCGACCUGAGAGGGUGACCGGCCACAUUGGGACUGAGACACGGCCCAAACUCCUACGGGAGGCAGCAGUGGGGAAUAUUGCACAAUGGGCGAAAGCCUGAUGCAGCGACGCCGCGUGAGCGAAGAAGUAUUUCGGUAUGUAAA